GGAUUGUGGCUCAGAGAUAGAGUGCUUGCCUAGCAUGCAUGAGGCACUGGGUUCAAUCCUCAGCACCA
RNAcentral lists this transfer RNA (68 nucleotides) under Marmota monax (woodchuck). Its description in RNAcentral is "tRNA.Ala". The stretch from base 5 to 65 matches the Rfam family "tRNA", at positions 6 to 65 of the family's 71-position model. Rfam says of the family: Transfer RNA (tRNA) molecules are approximately 80 nucleotides in length. Their secondary structure includes four short double-helical elements and three loops (D, anti-codon, and T loops). The record is from RNAcentral. Lineage: Eukaryota; Metazoa; Chordata; Mammalia; Rodentia; Sciuridae.